This 524-nucleotide ribosomal RNA is filed under the name uncultured bacterium. RNAcentral's name for it is "partial 16S ribosomal RNA". It matches the Rfam family "Bacterial small subunit ribosomal RNA", at positions 28 to 523 of the family's 1533-position model. The record is from RNAcentral.
GACGAACGCUGGCGGCGUGCUUAACACAUGCAAGUCGAACGAGACGAUUGAAAGCUUGCUUUCGAAAGUCGAGUGGCAAACGGGUGAGUAACGCGUAGACAACCUGCCUUUGAGAUGGGGACAACAGUUCGAAAGGACUGCUAAUACCGAAUGUUGUAUAUUUUCCACAUGGAAGAUAUAUUAAAGAUGGCCUCUAUUUAUAAGCUAUCGCUCAAAGAUGGGUCUGCGUCUGAUUAGCUGGUUGGUGGGGUAACGGCCUACCAAGGCGACGAUCAGUAGCCGGUCUGAGAGGAUGAACGGCCACAUUGGGACUGAGACACGGCCCAGACUCCUACGGGAGGCAGCAGUGGGGAAUCUUCCACAAUGGACGAAAGUCUGAUGGAGCAACGCCGCGUGAGUGAAGAAGGGUUUCGGCUCGUAAAGCUCUGUUGUCGGGGACGAAUGUGCAGUAUUUGAAUAAAGUACUGCAAUGACGGUACCUGACGAGGAAGCCACGGCUAACUACGUGCCAGCAGCCGCCGUAA